This 624-nucleotide long non-coding RNA is filed under the name Capsicum annuum. RNAcentral describes it as "long non-coding RNA (CANN_LNC022162)". Lineage: Eukaryota; Viridiplantae; Streptophyta; Magnoliopsida; Solanales; Solanaceae. The record is from RNAcentral.
AACAGACUCCUCAGAUAAUCUACUAUUUAAGGAAAGUGGUGUCAGGAAACCAUUAUCACCGGCAAACUUCUGCACGAUAGAGCUAGAUCAAUGAGUAAAAGCGGCGAAAUCCUUCUCUUCCGAAUUAUCAUGGGUUUGUAUGUGAAGAUCUUUGGGUGAUUUAACAAAUAGAUGUCAAAAAUUCUCACUAACACCAUAAAAUCAACUCCAACAAAGACUUCUUCAAUUCAAAGGAUGAUUGACUGAGUAGACCUGCGAAAGAAAGGUAAUACCAAAUAUAUUUGUGUUACUGUCUGGAUUUGGAAGAUAACCCAUGCCACUACUUGUCUUCCCCAUUAGAUUAAACUAACAAGGAACUAAUACCACUGCUCGAGGAAGAUUUUGUAGUAGCUUAAUCAUCUUCCUAAUUAUUGUGGAAAUCCAAGCAGGUAAAGUGCCAAAAUCGCCCAAAUCCGUGAACUGGCGAUAUUGAUCCGAUGUUUGUCUUGACUGUUUCUUAUGUGAUAUUGUAAAGAUCAUUACCCCAUGUAUUCUCUGUUGCUUAUUGUUGUGACUGCAAUGGGAUUGCUAUAGACAUCACUGAACUUUUGAAAUUUUUGUUUUGGUCUUUCUUACUCUAAUUUU